RNAcentral lists this ribosomal RNA (508 nucleotides) under uncultured bacterium. RNAcentral describes it as "partial 16S ribosomal RNA". It matches the Rfam family "Bacterial small subunit ribosomal RNA", at positions 355 to 853 of the family's 1533-position model. The record is from RNAcentral.
UAGGGAAUCUUCCACAAUGGACGCAAGUCUGAUGGAGCAACGCCGCGUGAGUGAAGAAGGUCUUCGGAUCGUAAAGCUCUGUUGUUGGUGAAGAAGGAUAGAGGCAGUAACUGGUCUUUAUUUGACGGUAAUCAACCAGAAAGUCACGGCUAACUACGUGCCAGCAGCCGCGGUAAUACGUAGGUGGCAAGCGUUGUCCGGAUUUAUUGGGCGUAAAGCGAGCGCAGGCGGAAUGAUAAGUCUGAUGUGAAAGCCCACGGCUCAACCGUGGAACUGCAUCGGAAACUGUCAUUCUUGAGUGCAGAAGAGGAGAGUGGAACUCCAUGUGUAGCGGUGGAAUGCGUAGAUAUAUGGAAGAACACCAGUGGCGAAGGCGGCUCUCUGGUCUGCAACUGACGCUGAGGCUCGAAAGCAUGGGUAGCGAACAGGAUUAGAUACCCUGGUAGUCCAUGCCGUAAACGAUGAGCGCUAGGUGUUGGGGACUUUCCGGUCCUCAGUGGCCGCAGCA